AGUAUGGACAGCUUGCAGACCUUUUCCAAAGCUGAUAUUUUAGCUCAUCAUAGCAAGAAACCCACAAGUGUAAUUAAUUACAUUAACAAUGACGAUGUUCCAUUUGUCCCAGUAAUCCAUGCAAGCAUGUUCACUGUAAGCAUGUUUCUGCCCUUGUGGGAAUUAGGCUGGGGCAGUCGCAGGCACCCACUGCCUUGGCCCCCCUAAGUGCAGACUAAACAUGAGCUUUUCCUGCCAUGACAUGCCAAAAUAUCUUCUGUGGAUUUGGGACACAGCAACAGAAAAUGAAAUGUGGUGGUGCCCUCCUCAGGCCAAUCAAUGUUUUUAAAAAAUGGAACAAAAACAUUUUACUAACACAUAUACCCAAACUCAUACAACAUUCAAUCGCCUCCCAUGUCCCGUAGUCUCUCCAAGGGUUGAUCUAAAAUGAGGCUAUUAAAAUUAUUCAGCAGCUGGUGAAGUCAAAAAUUAGGCUGACAGAGAGUUAAUUCUGCUGACACAGCUUUUUCCGCUUCUGUCUUCGAAUUGAUUUGAAACACACCUCACAGGGGAACGCGUUCUGAUGCAUUUUGUUUUAUAUUAUGUGCAUCCUCUCACUGUGCAGUCUAUCCUUUUAUAGCUCUGGAUUUUGAUGCCCUAUAAAAGUCUUUUGCUGGUCAUGUUUUUGUUUUCAGCUAACAUGGAGCCGUUUCCCUCCAGCCAUUGUGUGCUAUUUGUCCUCCAGUGGAAUAAGGCUCAUUAUUUCAAUGUGUAGUCAUAGUUUCUACAGAUACACCCAGGGAUCAGGCCAUCUCUCCAUUAAGGAAAAUCUCUUUGAAAGCAGGCAUGCCCCGGGCCAAGCCUUCCCUCAGUUUCAUAAACAGCUAUUACACUGACAUGGAAAACAUGGAGUCUGCUGAAAUGUAGUACAUCAGUACAGUAUUCUUGCCUCCGGAGCUGUAGAGUCUGGAUCUACAAUGGCAAGCCUCCUACUGCCCCCA
Long non-coding RNA from Siniperca chuatsi (mandarin fish), 980 nucleotides. RefSeq lists it as uncharacterized. The transcript is spliced from 3 exons. The record is from RefSeq and is a predicted model, not a curated record. Lineage: Eukaryota; Metazoa; Chordata; Actinopteri; Centrarchiformes; Sinipercidae.